AUGUUCAUAAAAUAAGUGCUGGGCUGUGAAUUUAGUGAUCAGAUUGAGGGAUUCAAUUUUGGAAGCUCUUUAUCACCUACUGAACAGUGAUGAAGCACUUGGUUUCUUUGAAGCAUUUCAUGCGCUUCUUGCCUUCCUCAUCUCGUUUCUGGCUGCCUUAAUUGGUUUACACUUUCAAGUCUUGGGUGUCUCACCACUUCAAACACAUUUUGCUCUCAUCUUGCUUUUCAUCAUCGCUACAAUCGUCUAUAGCAUUGCGUAUGCAGAGAUAAAACUACAACCUCCAGGCGCUGACCUUCCCAUAUUCAGGUUCAUUUGUCUGGUUUCUGGAGUUAUUGCUAUUGAGCUACUUGUCACAAUAAUCAUUUCUCCCUUUUGGCUAUUCAUGGUUAAUUUAUGUCCAAUCCUGAUCAUAGGGGUACUGCGUCAUUUGUACCAACAAAGUUAUCAGUGGCUCUACUACACAGUUAAUUUAUUCCUCAAUGCAGUAUGUAGCUUGUUUAAAAAGAUCUAUCAAUCAGUUUAUCAGAUAUAUAACUGGCUCCUACAGAAAUUCCAAUAAGCAGCUUCUGAAGCAUUUUCUUCAAGUGAACAGGAAGAAAAUGGUAUUCAGGUGAAAUAAUUGUUUAAGUGACCUAUGUUUUGAAAAGACAAAUUAUUUGAGUUACCUAUUAUUGUUAAUUAGACAUAAAGUGUGCUAAAUGUUCACUUAUG
Long non-coding RNA from Quercus lobata, 714 nucleotides. RefSeq lists it as uncharacterized. The transcript is spliced from 2 exons. NCBI's taxonomy places the organism in Eukaryota, Viridiplantae, Streptophyta, Magnoliopsida, Fagales, Fagaceae. The record is from RefSeq and is a predicted model, not a curated record.